GACGAACGCUGGCGGCGUGCUUAACACAUGCAAGUCGAACGAAGAGCGAUGGAAGCUUGCUUCUAUCAAUCUUAGUGGCGAACGGGUGAGUAACGCGUAAUCAACCUGCCCUUCAGAGGGGGACAACAGUUGGAAACGACUGCUAAUACCGCAUACGAUCUAAUCUCGGCAUCGAGGAUAGAUGAAAGGUGGCCUCUAUUUAUAAGCUAUCACUGAAGGAGGGGAUUGCGUCUGAUUAGCUAGUUGGAGGGGUAACGGCCCACCAAGGCGAUGAUCAGUAGCCGGUCUGAGAGGAUGAACGGCCACAUUGGGACUGAGACACGGCCCAGACUCCUACGGGAGGCAGCAGUGGGGAAUCUUCCGCAAUGGACGAAAGUCUGACGGAGCAACGCCGCGUGAGUGAUGACGGCCUUCGGGUUGUAAAGCUCUGGUAAUCGGGACGAAAGGCCUUCUUGCGAAUAGUUAGAAGG
This 470-nucleotide ribosomal RNA is filed under the name Veillonella dispar. RNAcentral describes it as "bacterial SSU rRNA". It matches the Rfam family "Bacterial small subunit ribosomal RNA", at positions 28 to 475 of the family's 1533-position model. The record is from RNAcentral. Lineage: Bacteria; Bacillati; Bacillota; Negativicutes; Veillonellales; Veillonellaceae.